GACGAACGCUGGCGGCGUGCUUAACACAUGCAAGUCGAACGGAAAGGCCCUGCUUUUGUGGGGUGCUCGAGUGGCGAACGGGUGAGUAACACGUGAGUAACCUGCCCUUGACUUUGGGAUAACUUCAGGAAACUGGGGCUAAUACCGGAUAGGAGCUCCUGCUGCAUGGUGGGGGUUGGAAAGUUUCGGCGGUUGGGGAUGGACUCGCGGCUUAUCCGCUUGUUGGUGGGGUAGUGGCUUACCAAGGCUUUGACGGGUAGCCGGCCUGAGAGGGUGACCGGCCACAUUGGGCCUGAGGUACGGCCCAGACUCCUACGGGAGGCAGCAGUGGGGAAUAUUGCACAAUGGGCUGAAGCCUGAUGCAGCAACGCCGCGUGCGGGAUGACGGCCUUCGGGUUGUAAACCGCUUUCGCCUGUGACGAAGCGUGAGUGACGGUAAUGGGUAAAGAAGCACCGGCUAACUACGUG
RNAcentral lists this ribosomal RNA (468 nucleotides) under uncultured bacterium. RNAcentral's name for it is "partial 16S ribosomal RNA". It matches the Rfam family "Bacterial small subunit ribosomal RNA", at positions 28 to 507 of the family's 1533-position model. The record is from RNAcentral.